ACAUACAUUGUUCAUCAAAACAUCAAAACCCAUAAACUCAUCAACAAGCCUAAACAUGCAUCUCUACCCAUAAAACAACUUAAUGCUUGUUUAAAACACAUAACAAGGGUGGAUCCGAGCUUACCUCUUGAAGAAACGAGAGGAAAGGCGAUCCUAGCUUGGAGAUGGAGAGAUUGAGCUCUUUGAACCUCCAAGUACCCAAAACUUGCUCUUUACUCACAGAUCUUCAAAACAGAAGUUAAAACCCGUGAAAAUCAUGGAAGAUCUAAGGAAAACACUCAAGAUCGAGGGAGGGGUGGCGGAGACUCACCUUGGCCGA
Molecule: long non-coding RNA, 319 nt
Filed under: Manihot esculenta (cassava)
Lineage: Eukaryota; Viridiplantae; Streptophyta; Magnoliopsida; Malpighiales; Euphorbiaceae
Description: long non-coding RNA (MESC_LNC012602)
Source: RNAcentral